This 400-nucleotide long non-coding RNA is filed under the name Vulpes vulpes (red fox). Its description in RNAcentral is "lncRNA (ENSVVUG00000029525.1)". Lineage: Eukaryota; Metazoa; Chordata; Mammalia; Carnivora; Canidae. The record is from RNAcentral.
CUCAAAGUAUUCAUUUGCAACCUUUUCUACUAACAAAGCAGACAGUCAAAGUUCAUAUAACAGGAAUUUCUUUACUGUUGUAGACAAAAGCCUGAUGUUCUAUUUCUGAAGUCACCUUCUACUCUUUGGGAAUUUUGAGGAAAGACUCAGGGGAACAAAGAGAAAUUACCUGGAUGAUCUUGCCUCUAGCAGUCUCAGGCAAAAGGCUAACCAUCUUACAUGUUUAUGUCAAACAAUAAUCCCAGAUGGCAAAAAUUUAAGAUGUUACUUGAAGGAAUUUCUGGAUCCCUACUCUAAACCCAAUCUUGAAGAUACCACAGAAAGGAGAAGGAAAAUGAUGGAUCUAAAAAAAAUAUUGAAAAAAUGGAAGAGUUCCUGGAGUGAGUUCCAGCUGAAGUAA